This 254-nucleotide ribosomal RNA is filed under the name uncultured bacterium. RNAcentral's name for it is "partial 16S ribosomal RNA". It matches the Rfam family "Bacterial small subunit ribosomal RNA", at positions 524 to 776 of the family's 1533-position model. The record is from RNAcentral.
UACGGGGGGGGCAAGCGUUGUUCGGAAUUAUUGGGCGUAAAGAGCUCGUAGGCGGUGUGUCGCGUCGGCCGUGAAAACCUGCAGCUUAACUGUGGGCGUGCGGUCGAUACGGGCAUCACUGGAGUUCGGCAGGGGAGACUGGAAUUCCUGGUGUAGCGGUGAAAUGCGCAGAUAUCAGGAGGAACACCGGUGGCGAAGGCGGGUCUCUGGGCCGAUACUGACGCUGAGGAGCGAAAGCGUGGGGAGCAAACAGG